GCUGGGCAUGGUGGCACGUGCCUGUAAUCCCAGCUACGUGGGAGGCUGAGGCAGGAGAAAUGCUUAAGCCAGGGAGUUGGAGGUUUCAGUGAGCCAAGAUCGCGCCACUGCACUCUAGUCUGGCAACAGAACAAGACUCCGUCUCAAAAAAAAAAAAAAAAUUUAUUUAUUUUGAGACGGAAUCUCACUCUGUCACCCAGGCUGGAGUGCAGUGGCGCGAUCUUGGCUCACUACAACCUCUGUCUCCCGGGUUGAAGUGAUUCUUCUGCCUGAG
Molecule: non-coding RNA, 274 nt
Organism: Pan troglodytes (chimpanzee)
Lineage: Eukaryota; Metazoa; Chordata; Mammalia; Primates; Hominidae
Source: Rfam